RNAcentral lists this ribosomal RNA (220 nucleotides) under uncultured bacterium. Its description in RNAcentral is "partial 16S ribosomal RNA". It matches the Rfam family "Bacterial small subunit ribosomal RNA", at positions 524 to 742 of the family's 1533-position model. The record is from RNAcentral.
UACGUAGGUGGCAAGCGUUGUCCGGAAUUAUUGGGCGUAAAGCGCGCGCAGGCGGCCUCUUAAGUCUGAUGUGAAAGCCCCCGGCUCAACCCGGGGAGGGCCAUUGGAAACUGGGAGGCUUGAGUAUAGGAGAGAAGAGUGGAAUUCCACGUGUAGCGGUGAAAUGCGUAGAGAUGUGGAGGAACACCAGUGGCGAAGGCGACUCUUUGGCCUAUAACUG